This 464-nucleotide ribosomal RNA is filed under the name Vreelandella stevensii. Its description in RNAcentral is "partial 16S ribosomal RNA". It matches the Rfam family "Bacterial small subunit ribosomal RNA", at positions 338 to 795 of the family's 1533-position model. The record is from RNAcentral. Lineage: Bacteria; Pseudomonadati; Pseudomonadota; Gammaproteobacteria; Oceanospirillales; Halomonadaceae.
CCUACGGGAGGCUGCAGUGGGGAAUAUUGGACAAUGGGCGAAAGCCUGAUCCAGCCAUGCCGCGUGUGUGAAGAAGGCCUUCGGGUUGUAAAGCACUUUCAGUGGGGAAGAAAGCCUUGGGGCUAAUACCCUCGAGGAAGGACAUCACCCACAGAAGAAGCACCGGCUAACUCCGUGCCAGCAGCCGCGGUAAUACGGAGGGUGCGAGCGUUAAUCGGAAUUACUGGGCGUAAAGCGCGCGUAGGCGGUCUGAUAAGCCGGUUGUGAAAGCCCCGGGCUCAACCUGGGAACGGCAUCCGGAACUGUCAGGCUAGAGUGCAGGAGAGGAAGGUAGAAUUCCCGGUGUAGCGGUGAAAUGCGUAGAGAUCGGGAGGAAUACCAGUGGCGAAGGCGGCCUUCUGGACUGACACUGACGCUGAGGUGCGAAAGCGUGGGUAGCAAACAGGAUAGAUACCCCAGUAGUC